GUGCUCGCUUCGGCAGCACAUAUACUAAAAUUGGAACGAUACAGAGAAGAUUAGCAUGUGUAAGGAUGACACGCAAAUUUGUGAAGCGUUCCAUAUUUUU
Choloepus hoffmanni (Hoffmann's two-fingered sloth) is the source of this 100-nucleotide small nuclear RNA. NCBI's taxonomy places the organism in Eukaryota, Metazoa, Chordata, Mammalia, Pilosa, Megalonychidae. The record is from Ensembl.